CAUGUCCUUUUGAAUAUUAUUUAAGGUCUAAUCUGCUCAAUGAGGGAUUAAAUUGCCGCGGUAUUAUGACCGUGCGAAGGUAGCAUAAUAAUUAGCUUUUUUAUUGAAAGCUGGAAUGAAUGAUUGGACGAGAAAACACCUGUCUCUGCUAGAUUUUUUGUUGAAUUUAACUUUUAAGUAAAAAGGCUUAAAUUCUUUAUAAAGACGAGAAGACCCUAUAGAGUUUAAUAUAUAGUUUAGUUGGAGGUUUUUGGUAUUUGCUUCUUUAAUUUUUCUAUUUAUUUGGUUGGGGUGACUAGAAGAAAAAAUUAACUCUUCUAUUUUUUUAUUACUGAUUUGUAAAUAAUUAUUCUGGGUUUUCCAAAUUUAAAUUAAAUUACCUUAGGGAUAACAGCGUAAUUUCCUUUCAGAGUUCUUAUUUAAAGGGAAGUUUGCGACCUCGAUGUUGGAUUAAAAUUAAUAUUGGGUGCAGUAGCUCAAUUAUUAGGUCUGUUCGACCUUUAAAAUUUUACAUGAUCUGAGU
Molecule: ribosomal RNA, 523 nt
Filed under: Chalcolepidius sp. UPOL 001422
Lineage: Eukaryota; Metazoa; Arthropoda; Insecta; Coleoptera; Elateridae
Description: partial 16S ribosomal RNA
Rfam family: Archaeal large subunit ribosomal RNA
Source: RNAcentral